UGCGUAGGCGGGUUUCUAAGUCAGAGGUGAAAGCCUGGAGCCCAACUCCAGAACUGCCUUUGAUACUGGAAGUCUUGAGUUCGGGAGAGGUGAGUGGAACUGCGAGUGUAGAGGUGAAAUUCGUAGAUAUUCGCAAGAACACCAGUGGCGAAGGCGGCUCACUGGCCCGAUACUGACGCUGAGGCACGAAAGCGUGGGAGCAAACA
RNAcentral lists this ribosomal RNA (206 nucleotides) under uncultured bacterium. RNAcentral's name for it is "partial 16S ribosomal RNA". It matches the Rfam family "Bacterial small subunit ribosomal RNA", at positions 568 to 774 of the family's 1533-position model. The record is from RNAcentral.